RNAcentral lists this unclassified non-coding RNA (37 nucleotides) under Trypanosoma grosi. Lineage: Eukaryota; Euglenozoa; Kinetoplastea; Trypanosomatida; Trypanosomatidae. The record is from RNAcentral.
UAUUGGAAAAAACAAAAACAAAAAACAACACCAAAAU